UUUUUCCUGACAGUGAAGGUGUCACCAGGUCCCCCCCCCUCUCACCUGUCAGCCAAUCACGUGCCUCGGAACAAACUCAUCAACGGCUAGUUAGCCAGCAGGCUCGUAAGAAACGAUUAAGAGAAAACUUUGUCUUUCUGCACGGAGUUGUAUCUUUCUCCGAUGAGCAUUUUCAGAGUCACGAAGCUGCCAGAUGGGACCCCCAAACAGACCACGAGACCAGAGGAAAGAGGAUAUUCUAGGUCAGAAAUUGCUCCAUCUCCACCUUAAUGGAGAAUCUUCCAAUCCCUUAAAUGCACCUCGAGAAGACAAGGAGAGAGGAUGACUCUUGAGGAGUUUGA
Molecule: long non-coding RNA, 341 nt
Organism: Plectropomus leopardus (leopard coralgrouper)
Lineage: Eukaryota; Metazoa; Chordata; Actinopteri; Perciformes; Serranidae
Source: RefSeq, a predicted model, not a curated record